GUUCCUUGCGAGGAAAGACCCAUCUCACAAAAAAUGAUGGGGUGUGGAUGUGGAGCAGGUGAGCAUCUGUUGGACAGGCUAAAGACCAGCUGUGUUUUGCCGUCACCGUCACCAACCAUAUCCAUCCAUCUGUGGAUGAUGCCAGGAACAGAUUCUUGA
This 159-nucleotide long non-coding RNA is filed under the name Sinocyclocheilus anshuiensis. RNAcentral describes it as "lncRNA (ENSSANG00000024788.1)". The record is from RNAcentral. Lineage: Eukaryota; Metazoa; Chordata; Actinopteri; Cypriniformes; Cyprinidae.